GAUGAACGCUGGCGGCGUGCCUAAUACAUGCAAGUCGAGCGAACAGACGAGGAGCUUGCUCCUCUGACGUUAGCGGCGGACGGGUGAGUAACACGUGGAUAACCUACCUAUAAGACUGGGAUAACUUCGGGAAACCGGAGCUAAUACCGGAUAAUAUAUUGAACCGCAUGGUUCAAUAGUGAAAGACGGUUUUGCUGUCACUUAUAGAUGGAUCCGCGCCGCAUUAGCUAGUUGGUAAGGUAACGGCUUACCAAGGCGACGAUGCGUAGCCGACCUGAGAGGGUGAUAGGCCGCACUGGAACUGAGACACGGUCCAGACUCCUACGGGAGGCAGCAGUAGGGAAUCGUCCGCAAUGGGCGAAAGCCUGACGGAGCGACGCCGCGUGAGUGAUGAAGGUCUUCGGAUCGUAAAACUCUGUUAUUAGGGAAGAAAAAAUGUGGAAGUAACUAUGCACGUCUUGACGGUACCUAAUCAGGAAGCCACGGCUAACUACGUG
Molecule: ribosomal RNA, 497 nt
Filed under: uncultured bacterium
Lineage: Bacteria
Description: partial 16S ribosomal RNA
Rfam family: Bacterial small subunit ribosomal RNA
Source: RNAcentral